RNAcentral lists this transfer-messenger RNA (335 nucleotides) under uncultured Catonella sp. It matches the Rfam family "transfer-messenger RNA". From Rfam's summary of the family: Bacterial tmRNA, also known as 10Sa RNA or SsrA, is named for its dual tRNA and mRNA-like properties. Its role is to liberate the mRNA from a stalled ribosome. The record is from RNAcentral. Lineage: Bacteria; Bacillati; Bacillota; Clostridia; Lachnospirales; Lachnospiraceae.
GGGGUUGUACUGGUUUCGACGGGGAUUUUGAACUUGGAGAAGCAAGCCGCAGGUAUGCGUUAAAUCCAAAAUUAAAAAUAAACGCUGAAGAUAAUUUAGCAUACGCUGCCUGAGGGCAGCUGUCCUGCUCCUGACACCUACAUCAGGAGGCCAGGGCAUCGAUGAUGUAGGAAACGACAUGUGUGACGGCCCUGGCACAUGGGCGUAUAAGGGUCUACUGAAACCUGGAACGUGCUGUUUCGUGCCCGGCGGAGGGAAUGUCAGAUAAGCAGCUAAGCUUGUAGAAGGACAAUGGAUGGGUCUUCGGACAGGGGUUCGAUUCCCCUCAGCUCCAU